Molecule: ribosomal RNA, 449 nt
Filed under: uncultured bacterium
Lineage: Bacteria
Description: partial 16S ribosomal RNA
Rfam family: Bacterial small subunit ribosomal RNA
Source: RNAcentral
AAUGAACGCUGGCGGCAUGCCUAACACAUGCAAGUCGAACGAAGGCUUCGGCCUUAGUGGCGCACGGGUGCGUAACGCGUGGGAAUCUGCCCUCAGGUUCGGAAUAACAGCGAGAAAUUGCUGCUAAUACCGGAUGAUAUCGCGAGAUCAAAGAUUUAUCGCCUGAGGAUGAGCCCGCGUAGGAUUAGCUAGUUGGUGUGGUAAAGGCGCACCAAGGCGACGAUCCUUAGCUGGUCUGAGAGGAUGAUCAGCCACACUGGGACUGAGACACGGACAAGACUGCGAAGGGAGGCAGCAGUGGGGAAUAUUGGACAAUGGGCGAAAGCCUGAGCAAGCAAUGCAGCGUGAGUGAUGAAGGCCUUAGGGUUGUAAAGCUCUUUUACCCGGGAUGAUAAUGACAGUACCGGGAGAAUAAGCUCCGGCUAACUCCGUGCCAGCAGCCGCCGUAA